Molecule: ribosomal RNA, 494 nt
Filed under: uncultured bacterium
Lineage: Bacteria
Description: partial 16S ribosomal RNA
Rfam family: Bacterial small subunit ribosomal RNA
Source: RNAcentral
GACGAACGCUGGCGGCGCGCUUAACACAUGCAAGUCGAACGGAAAGGCCUGCUUUCCCUUGUGGAUUGCGGGUACUCGAGUGGCGAACGGGUGAGUAACACGUGAGUGAUCUGCCCCCAACUUGGGUAUAAGCCUGGGAAACUGGGUCUAAUUCCCGAUAGGACUGCAGGGUGGUGCCUGUGGUGGAAAACGAUUUUCUAGUGGUUGGGGAUGAGCUCGCGGCCUAUCAGCUUGUUGGUGGGGUAAUGGCCUACCAAGGCGGCGACGGGUAGCCGGCCUGAGAGGGUGGACGGCCACAUUGGGACUGAGAGACGGCCCAGACUCCUACGGGAGGCAGCAGUGGGGAAGAUGGCACAAUGGGCGGAAGCCUGAUGCAGCGACGCCGCGUGGGGGAUGACGGCCUUCGGGUUGUAAACUCCUUUCGACCGCGAGGAAGCCACCUGGUUGGAAGGGUGGUGACGGUAGUGGUAGAAGAAGCACCGGCUAACUACGUG